Molecule: small nuclear RNA, 114 nt
Filed under: Myotis davidii
Lineage: Eukaryota; Metazoa; Chordata; Mammalia; Chiroptera; Vespertilionidae
Description: U2 spliceosomal RNA
Rfam family: U2 spliceosomal RNA
About the family: U2 is a small nuclear RNA (snRNA) component of the spliceosome (involved in pre-mRNA splicing).
Source: Rfam by way of RNAcentral
AUCGCUUCUCGGCCUUUUGGCUAAGAUCAAGUGUAGUAUCUGUUCUUAUCAGUUUAAAAUAAAAUGUUGAAAAAAUUUAAAAAUCUGCUUAACAAAGCUAAAAGCAAAGCCCUC